Molecule: non-coding RNA, 419 nt
Organism: Paramuricea clavata
Lineage: Eukaryota; Metazoa; Cnidaria; Anthozoa; Malacalcyonacea; Plexauridae
Source: the annotation of a GenBank genome assembly
CUAUUCAUGACUGAAAUUGUUUGCACUACACACUAUAUGUAAUAAAUUCUAAACAAUAAAUUUUUAAUAUGGAAUAUCCAUUAUUAACAUUGUUCAUCAUCAGAUAAAAUGAAGAUAAUAACUAUAUUUGCAGAAUUACUAAUUCUGUAAAAGAUAGUUCUUAAAAGUAAUAUAUUCAAGCAUUGCACUGGAAGUUUAUAUCUUAUGGCUAUUUCCUGUUAAUGUAAAGUUUGCAAUACUGUAAUGGAUCCUUCGUUGACUGGUAACCAACCAAGUGUGACCACAUUGUGACCCUGUCAUUUACCAAACCAGUAACUGAGUUUUUAACUUUUUGCAGAUAUUUUAGAUUGGGGUGAAUUGCAACCUAUAAUGUAACGUCUGCUUUAGACUCUAGUUCUAUCACUUUAUUAUCAACUAAC